Molecule: ribosomal RNA, 358 nt
Filed under: Orphnaeus sp. ZSM-A 2017/0064
Lineage: Eukaryota; Metazoa; Arthropoda; Chilopoda; Geophilomorpha; Oryidae
Description: partial 12S ribosomal RNA
Source: RNAcentral
UUGGCGGCCUUUCCCCCUAUUAGAGGAACUCGCAUUUUUAUCCGAUAAUCCGCGUUACUUUUCACUUAAAUUCAAAGUCUUUAUAUCGCCGUCUAAAGAUUCAAUUCAAAAAUUCAAUCUCAAAAGACAACUCACCCAAGUCAGGUCGAGAUAAAACCAAUAUUUAAGCAAGCCGAGUUACAAAUAUUUCUUCAAUUAAAAACCUCAAACCAAAAUUUGAAACUUCAGGAUUUAAAAGUAAUCACUUAAUAAUACUCAAUUAUGAAAUCGCAAACAAGGUGUACAUAUCGCCCGUCACCCUCGUCCAAAGAUGGGGUAAGUCGUAACAUAGUUAAUGUACUGGAAAGUGCAUUAAGGG